Molecule: transfer RNA, 64 nt
Filed under: Geotrichum candidum
Lineage: Eukaryota; Fungi; Ascomycota; Dipodascomycetes; Dipodascales; Dipodascaceae
Description: tRNA-Ser
Rfam family: tRNA
About the family: Transfer RNA (tRNA) molecules are approximately 80 nucleotides in length. Their secondary structure includes four short double-helical elements and three loops (D, anti-codon, and T loops).
Source: RNAcentral
UGGCCGAGCGGUUAAGGCGAAAGAUUAGAAAUCUUUUGGGAUUUUCCCGCGCAGGUUCGAGUCC